AUGGCAAACGUCGCCGAGCACCGCGUACAGAUGCGGGCAGCUCCUCCCGCCAGCAAGGUCGUCCCCGCUGCGCCCGAGAAGGGGCUGAAUCGCUUCGUGCACUCGAUCGCGCCGAUGGAGAGGGUCGGCAGCGCUCUGGGCACGCUGGCCUUCACAUGGGCGACCGUCGUCGUGCUCAGCGGCUACCCGACAGUGCUCCACGUGCUGGAUUUCUGGUUUGCCACGGCCAUAAUUUUCCUGGAAGGAUUGAGGAUGUUCAGUCGCAGCAACAGGGUAGACUACCAACUGUUCUUCCGUACGAGAGGUGCUAUAAAGUCUAUUGGCAGUAAUGAGCUGAGCUUGUUCGUAUGUUUCUCCAAUGUUCUGGUGUGCAUGAUUAUAAGGAACAACUAUGCAUCAACACACAUACGACCUUGGUUGGUGGCAAUACUUGCGAUUGGCCCAUUUCUAUGUCUAAGACUACUCCCAUCCAAUCCGCUACGCAAAGCAGCGUCAUUAUGGAGCCCGAUGGUUGCAGUUCUGUUGCUUUAUCCCCUGUUACGCCAUAGUAUUGAUGCUACUGAUGAAGGCAAUUUAAUCAUUCGCAAACUCAGUUUCAGAAACUCAACUGCCAAGUGGACACUGUACCUGGUACUACUUGCUGUUGUGCUCCUACAGACAAUCAGCAGGUUGCAGUUCCAAAGUAUCUCCAAACUAGUAGACCGGGCUCCCGGCAACAAAAUAGUAUUUUGGCGGCAAGUUGUUCUGAAUUUAUGCAUGUUUGCUACGGCAAUGAUGUUAAUGUUCACUUUUCAUGGCUACACUAAAUUCACCAUUGCCUCGCUAGACAUAAUGGCCCUAGUGAUAGUGUCAUUUGGCAACCUUCAGAUCCCAGCAGCAGUAUUGCGCAUCGUGCUGGGACUCUUGGGCGGCCUUAAAGUCGAUGACCACUACAAGGAAAACCUUGGGGACAUGAAAAAUCUUGUGCCAUCUCUCUACAUCUUUUAUGGGAUGCUGCUUGGCCAAGGAAUACUCUAUACCAUUGCCGGCAUACUUGAGAUUUUUUCAUUCAUCUUACGGAGAUCACUAGCCCGCCAGGCUGGAUUUAGCGGUCCCCAGGGAGUGGAAUAUGUCAAUUCAUACUAUGCAUAUGUCUUCAACAAAUGCAUGAAAGGGGCUGUGCUUGCUCCAGAGAAGAUUAGCCUCAUCACAUUUGCAGUGGAAUCUUUAAAUUCAGACUCACCCAAGAAGCAACUCUCUGGGGUUAAGAUGUUGGACAAUGUUCUGAAAAAGGAGAUCUUAAAGACUAAAGCUAUAUCAGAACUUACCACCUCCACAAAAACAGUGGCCUGCUUGGUUAACAUGUUGGGCUGGACAAGUGAAAGGGAUAAAGAUGUUAGAUUAUUUGCCACGAAGGUCUUUGCUGAGCUCGCAGAUAACCUCCGAAUUGUCUCUGUCCCUGGGGCAAUGCAGCUCAUAGGCUCACUUUUGGACACUGCCCACGAAUCGAAAGAAAGGGAUCCUCUAGGCGUUGAUAGCCCCGAGCCAAAACAAGAUAACUUGAUUCAGCAAGUUGGUGGAAAUGAACAGAGCUCCCGGGUGAUUAAAUGGUUGAAGAAGACGGCAAAAUAUUGUUUCAUUCCGAGGGAUGAGCCACGUAACAUGGAUGAACCAAAGCCCCAUAUAUUCAGAUUCUGGAAAAAGUCUGUUCCAAAGGAGGAGCCAUCGAAAGAUCAAGAUCUCCUCCCGGUACUGGGCAUGUUAAUUCUUGACAAGCUUGCUAGCUUUGAUCUCGAGAAUUGUAUAGAAAUCUGCAGAGACCCUGGUCUAACCACAAAGGUUAUAGAGUUCACAAGCAAUAGACCCAACAUGACAUAUAGUAAUGAGACACACAAGACACUGCUGAAACGUUCAUCACUGAAGCUACUUUGCAGACUUGCAAAGACUAAAGGGAAAAUUGGUGUAACUAUGCGUCAGAAUAUUUCAGAACAUCCCUUCCUUUUGAGCAAUCUUGUGGAGAUCUUGGAUAACAAUGAUAGCAGCCAUGAACUGAGGGAGAUCACAACAGAACUCAUUAAGAACAUUGCCAUGGAGGAAAAUAUAAAGGAGGAGAUCGGACACAUCCCAGUGAUCAUUAGCAGGUUGAUGGAUGCAUUUCUCAGCCAAAGUGCUCUCUCAAGAACAGAUUCAGCUCAGUUGCUACAAAUGACCUCCGGGCAAGCAUUGGCAGUUCCGGCAAUGGAGAGUGCGAACAACUGCUUAAUUAUGUUAGCGGAACCACACUCAUUCAUCAAGGAACUCACAGUUAUGAUCCAUGGUGACAGGUACAGGUACGUAGCUUCGAGCCUGUUGCAGAAUAUGUGUGUGCAUGUUCGACCUGAGCUUGGCAACUCGGACCUGAAGGAAAUCUCCUACAUUCUGAGAGAGGUGCUGGAAGGAAUAAUGGAUGCAGAAGGGACUGAACUGGAGGUCCUUGUUGGCCUUAGUUCACAAAUAUGUAAUGUCAUUCCUGGCGAUUUUGCACGAGAACUAGAGCAUGGUCAGAUCAAGGAAAGAUUCAUAAAGAGACUUGUCGACGCACUUAACUCAAAUAUGAUACCCACUGCUCAUUGUCCUGGAAUCAGAAGGGCGAUAGUUGAACAUACCAUAUGCAUGAUGGAGUGUAAUCCUGAGUACGCCGGCUGUUUCAAGGAAUGUUGGAUGAUGGAAGCACUGCUAAUGAUGGAGCGUACACCUUCAAGGGCUGAAAAGUACAGGUUCUUCUCGGGUGAUGCAGGACUCAUGGAGCACAGCAUAACUCUAUCUGCACUUGUGGCUAGAGCAAAAGAACUGAUGGACCAUGAGUAG
This 2826-nucleotide ribosomal RNA is filed under the name Triticum aestivum (bread wheat). Its description in RNAcentral is "partial small subunit ribosomal RNA". The record is from RNAcentral. Lineage: Eukaryota; Viridiplantae; Streptophyta; Magnoliopsida; Poales; Poaceae.